This 453-nucleotide ribosomal RNA is filed under the name uncultured bacterium. RNAcentral describes it as "partial 16S ribosomal RNA". It matches the Rfam family "Bacterial small subunit ribosomal RNA", at positions 29 to 523 of the family's 1533-position model. The record is from RNAcentral.
AACGAACGCUGGCGGCAUGCCUAACACAUGCAAGUCGAACGCCUGCAGCACUGCAGGAGUGGCAGACGGGUGAGUAACACGUGGGAAUCUACCCAGUAGCUCGGAAUAACCGCGGGAAACUGCGGCUAAUACCGGAUAAGCCCCGAGGGGGAAAGGAGCAAUCCACUAUUGGAGGAGCCCGCGUCUGAUUAGCUAGUUGGUGGGGUAAUGGCCUACCAAGGCGAUGAUCAGUAGCUGGUUUGAGAGAACGACCAGCCACACUGGGACUGAGACACGGCCCAGACUCCUACGGGAGGCAGCAGUGGGGAAUAUUGGACAAUGGGGGAAACCCUGAUCCAGCAAUGCCGCGUGGGUGAUGAAGGCCUUCGGGUUGUAAAGCCCUUUUGUCGGGGACGAUGAUGACGGUACCCGACGAAUAAGCCCCGGCUAACUUCGUGCCAGCCGCCGCCGUAA